GAUGAACGCUAGCUACAGGCUUAACACAUGCAAGUCGAGGGGCAGCGCAGUGUAGCAAUACAUGGGCGGCGACCGGCGCACGGGUGCGUAACGCGUAUCCAACCUUCCCGUUACUCAGGGAUAGCCUUCCGAAAGGGAGAUUAAUACCUGAUGGUGUUUGAAUUCCGCAUGUUAUUCAAACUAAAGAUUCAUCGGUGACGGAUGGGGAUGCGUGACAUUAGGUAGAUGGCGGGGUAACGGCCCACCAUGCCCACGAUGUCUAGGGGUUCUGAGAGGAAGGUCCCCCACACUGGAACUGAGACACGGUCCAGACUCCUACGGGAGGCAGCAGCUAAGAAUAUUCCGCAAUGGGGGAAACCCUGACGGAGCGACGCCGCGUGGAUGAUGAAGGCCGGAAGGUUGUAAAGUCCUUUUGGGCGCAAAGAAUAAGUACGCGAGGAAAUGCGCGUGCGGUGACGGUAGCGCCUGAAUAAGCAACGGCUAAUUACGUGCCAGCAGCCGACGG
Molecule: ribosomal RNA, 505 nt
Filed under: uncultured bacterium
Lineage: Bacteria
Description: bacterial SSU rRNA
Rfam family: Bacterial small subunit ribosomal RNA
Source: RNAcentral